GACGAACGCUGGCGGCGUGCUUAACACAUGCAAGUCGAACGAAGUGGCGAACGGGUGAGUAAUACGUGAGUAACCUGCCCUCCUUUUUGGGAUAAGCCUUGGAAACGGGGUCCAAUACCGAAUAAAGGGGGAUGGGCUCGCGGCCUAUCAGCUUGUUGGUGGGUUGAUGGCCUACCAAGGCGGUGACGGGUAGCCGGCCUGAGAGGGUGACCGGCCACAUUGGGACGGAGAUACAGCCGUGACUACUACGGGAGGCGGCAGUAGGGGAUAUUGCACAAUGGGCGAAAGCCUGAUGCAGCGACGCAGCGUGGGGGAUGAAGGCUUUCAGGUUGUAAGCCUCUAUCGCUAUCGAGCGGGUAGGUGGAGAAGAAGCGCCGGCUAACUACGUGCCAGCAGCCGCGGUAAUUC
This 408-nucleotide ribosomal RNA is filed under the name uncultured bacterium. Its description in RNAcentral is "partial 16S ribosomal RNA". It matches the Rfam family "Bacterial small subunit ribosomal RNA", at positions 28 to 526 of the family's 1533-position model. The record is from RNAcentral.